This 250-nucleotide ribosomal RNA is filed under the name uncultured bacterium. Its description in RNAcentral is "partial 16S ribosomal RNA". It matches the Rfam family "Bacterial small subunit ribosomal RNA", at positions 524 to 773 of the family's 1533-position model. The record is from RNAcentral.
GACGAGGGGUCCUAGCGUUGUUCGGAAUCAUUGGGCGUAAAGCGGGUGUAGGCGGCCAAUCAAGUUAGAUGUGAAAGCCCAGGGCUCAACUCUGGAAGUGCAUCUAAAACUAAUUGGCUUGAGUAUGGGAGAGGAUAGUGGAAUUCCUGGUGUAGUGGUGAAAUACGUAGAUAUCAGGAGGAAUACCGGUGGCGAAGGCGGCUAUCUGGCCCAAUACUGACGCUGAGACCCGAAAGCGUGGGGAGCAAAC